Molecule: ribosomal RNA, 2193 nt
Filed under: Salmonella enterica subsp. enterica serovar Newport
Lineage: Bacteria; Pseudomonadati; Pseudomonadota; Gammaproteobacteria; Enterobacterales; Enterobacteriaceae
Description: partial 23S ribosomal RNA
Rfam family: Bacterial large subunit ribosomal RNA
Source: RNAcentral
AGACCCGAAACCCGGUGAUCUAGCCAUGGGCAGGUUGAAGGUUGGGUAACACUAACUGGAGGACCGAACCGACUAAUGUUGAAAAAUUAGCGGAUGACCUGUGGCUGGGGGUGAAAGGCCAAUCAAACCGGGAGAUAGCUGGUUCUCCCCGAAAGCUAUUUAGGUAGCGCCUCGUGAAUUCAUCUCCGGGGGUAGAGCACUGUUUCGGCUAGGGGGCCAUCCCGGCUUACCAACCCGAUGCAAACUGCGAAUACCGGAGAAUGUUAUCACGGGAGACACACGGCGGGUGCUAACGUCCGUCGUGAAGAGGGAAACAACCCAGACCGCCAGCUAAGGUCCCAAAGUCAUGGUUAAGUGGGAAACGAUGUGGGAAGGCCCAGACAGCCAGGAUGUUGGCUUAGAAGCAGCCAUCAUUUAAAGAAAGCGUAAUAGCUCACUGGUCGAGUCGGCCUGCGCGGAAGAUGUAACGGGGCUAAACCAUGCACCGAAGCUGCGGCAGCGAACGUAUCACUUAAAGCGAUUCAGCGGGUUACGAUUGACGGAGCGAAGCGACGUCAAAGCGUAUACAAAGUCGAGUCGGUUUAAGGAUACGUUCGUUGGGUAGGGGAGCGUUCUGUAAGCCUGUGAAGGUGUGUCGUGAGGCAUGCUGGAGGUAUCAGAAGUGCGAAUGCUGACAUAAGUAACGAUAAAGCGGGUGAAAAGCCCGCUCGCCGGAAGACCAAGGGUUCCUGUCCAACGUUAAUCGGGGCAGGGUGAGUCGACCCCUAAGGCGAGGCCGAAAGGCGUAGUCGAUGGGAAACGGGUUAAUAUUCCCGUACUUGGUGUUACUGCGAAGGGGGGACGGAGAAGGCUAUGUUGGCCGGGCGACGGUUGUCCCGGUUUAAGCGUGUAGGUGUGUGUUCCAGGUAAAUCCGGUUCACUUUAACACUGAGGCGUGAUGACGAGGCACUACGGUGCUGAAGCAACAAAUGCCCUGCUUCCAGGAAAAGCCUCUAAGCAUCAGGUAACAUCAAAUCGUACCCCAAACCGACACAGGUGGUCAGGUAGAGAAUACCAAGGCGCUUGAGAGAACUCGGGUGAAGGAACUAGGCAAAAUGGUGCCGUAACUUCGGGAGAAGGCACGCUGACACGUAGGUGAAGUGAUUUACUCAUGGAGCUGAAGUCAGUCGAAGAUACCAGCUGGCUGCAACUGUUUAUUAAAAACACAGCACUGUGCAAACACGAAAGUGGACGUAUACGGUGUGACGCCUGCCCGGUGCCGGAAGGUUAAUUGAUGGGGUCAGCGCAAGCGAAGCUCCUGAUCGAAGCCCCGGUAAACGGCGGCCGUAACUAUAACGGUCCUAAGGUAGCGAAAUUCCUUGUCGGGUAAGUUCCGACCUGCACGAAUGGCGUAAUGAUGGCCAGGCUGUCUCCACCCGAGACUCAGUGAAAUUGAACUCGCUGUGAAGAUGCAGUGUACCCGCGGCAAGACGGAAAGACCCCGUGAACCUUUACUAUAGCUUGACACUGAACAUUGAGCCUUGAUGUGUAGGAUAGGUGGGAGGCUUUGAAGCGUGGACGCCAGUCUGCGUGGAGCCGACCUUGAAAUACCACCCUUUAAUGUUUGAUGUUCUAACGUGGACCCGUGAUCCGGGUUGCGGACAGUGUCUGGUGGGUAGUUUGACUGGGGCGGUCUCCUCCUAAAGAGUAACGGAGGAGCACGAAGGUUGGCUAAUCCUGGUCGGACAUCAGGAGGUUAGUGCAAUGGCAUAAGCCAGCUUGACUGCGAGCGUGACGGCGCGAGCAGGUGCGAAAGCAGGUCAUAGUGAUCCGGUGGUUCUGAAUGGAAGGGCCAUCGCUCAACGGAUAAAAGGUACUCCGGGGAUAACAGGCUGAUACCGCCCAAGAGUUCAUAUCGACGGCGGUGUUUGGCACCUCGAUGUCGGCUCAUCACAUCCUGGGGCUGAAGUAGGUCCCAAGGGUAUGGCUGUUCGCCAUUUAAAGUGGUACGCGAGCUGGGUUUAGAACGUCGUGAGACAGUUCGGUCCCUAUCUGCCGUGGGCGCUGGAGAACUGAGGGGGGCUGCUCCUAGUACGAGAGGACCGGAGUGGACGCAUCACUGGUGUUCGGGUUGUCAUGCCAAUGGCACUGCCCGGUAGCUAAAUGCGGAAGAGAUAAGUGCUGAAAGCAUCUAAGCACGAAACUUGCCCCGAG